UGGUGUAUUCUGGAUGUCUACUCAAGGCC
This 29-nucleotide non-coding RNA is filed under the name Homo sapiens (human). Lineage: Eukaryota; Metazoa; Chordata; Mammalia; Primates; Hominidae. The record is from RNAcentral.